RNAcentral lists this ribosomal RNA (253 nucleotides) under uncultured bacterium. RNAcentral describes it as "partial 16S ribosomal RNA". It matches the Rfam family "Bacterial small subunit ribosomal RNA", at positions 524 to 776 of the family's 1533-position model. The record is from RNAcentral.
UACGAAGGGGGCUAGCGUUGCUCGGAAUGACUGGGCGUAAAGGGCGCGUAGGCGGAUGGUUAAGUCAGACGUGAAAGUCCUGGGCUUAACCUGGGAACUGCGUUUAAUACGGGUUGUCUUGAGUGGGGAAGAGGGUCGUGGAAUUCCCAGUGUAGAGGUGAAAUUCGUAGAUAUUGGGAAGAACACCGGUGGCGAAGGCGGCGACCUGGUCUUUGACUGACGCUGAGGCGCGAAAGCGUGGGGAGCAAACAGG